GGUGGCGUAGGGAAACUGGUGUUUUCAGCAGUCUUCAAAACUGUCAUGGUGGCUUAAAGUCAUUGGUAGGUUCGAUUCCUACACGCUACCGCCA
This 94-nucleotide transfer RNA is filed under the name Fusobacterium sp. Its description in RNAcentral is "tRNA-Sec". It matches the Rfam family "Selenocysteine transfer RNA". Lineage: Bacteria; Fusobacteriati; Fusobacteriota; Fusobacteriia; Fusobacteriales; Fusobacteriaceae. The record is from RNAcentral.